CCUACGGGUGGCAGCAGUGGGGAAUAUUGGACAAUGGGCGAAAGCCUGAUCCAGCAAUGCCGCGUGUGUGAAGAAGGCCUUCGGGUUGUAAAGCACUUUCAGUGGGGAAGAAAGGCUUGGGGCUAAUACCCUCGAGGAAGGACAUCACCCACAGAAGAAGCACCGGCUAACUCCGUGCCAGCAGCCGCGGUAAUACGGAGGGUGCGAGCGUUAAUCGGAAUUACUGGGCGGAAAGCGCGCGUAGGCGGUCUGAUAAGCCGGUUGUGAAAGCCCCGGGCUCAACCUGGGAACGGCAUCCGGAACUGUCAGGCUAGAGUGCAGGAGAGGAAGGUAGAAUUCCCGGUGUAGCGGUGAAAUGCGUAGAGAUCGGGAGGAAUACCAGUGGCGAAGGCGGCCUUCUGGACUUACACUGACGCUGAGGUGCGAAAGCGUGGGUAGCAAACAGGAUUAGAUACCCGUGUAGUC
Molecule: ribosomal RNA, 465 nt
Filed under: Vreelandella stevensii
Lineage: Bacteria; Pseudomonadati; Pseudomonadota; Gammaproteobacteria; Oceanospirillales; Halomonadaceae
Description: partial 16S ribosomal RNA
Rfam family: Bacterial small subunit ribosomal RNA
Source: RNAcentral